UACGUAGGGUGCAAGCGUUAAUCGGAAUACUGGGCGUAAAGCGUGCGCAGGCGGUGAUGUAAGACAGGUGUGAAAUCCCCGGGCUUAACCUGGGAACUGCAUUUGUGACUGCAUCGCUGGAGUGCGGCAGAGGGGGAUGGAAUUCCGCGUGUAGCAGUGAAAUGCGUAGAUAUGCGGAGGAACACCGAUGGCGAAGGCAAUCCCCUGGGCCUGCACUGACGCUCAUGCACGAAAGCGUGGGGAGCAAACAGGAUUGAGAA
Molecule: ribosomal RNA, 260 nt
Filed under: uncultured bacterium
Lineage: Bacteria
Description: partial 16S ribosomal RNA
Rfam family: Bacterial small subunit ribosomal RNA
Source: RNAcentral